ACUUCAGAGGAAUGGCAUUAUCCCACUAUGAAACCAUUAAUUUCUAGGCAUCAACAGUGAGAACUGGGCAAAGCACAUGAGAUGUCUAAGAUCUGCCAGGAAAAGGACCAUGAAGGACUUGCCUGUGGUCAAGAAUCUACAUCUCAGUAUUUGUACAGUUGAGCCGAAAUGCCUGUUCUAACAAAGAGAGCCUGGUGUAUUCAGCUGGAACUCGUCAGCAUUUCAAGGGAAAGAAGUCACUCACUAAUUAAUGCUGGAGGUGGUGGGACUGCCAAGAUGAAUAGACAUAAUCCUCGAUCUAACCACUUCACAGUUUAUCAUCGGAGUCAAGUUUGCAGAUAAACAAUUGCCAUGCAACUUUCAAGCUCACUUCUCAGCUACCUAGGGCAAAAGCUGCUGCCAGAGUUCUAACAUUCAUAUGUUUGCAUAUUGUUAUGGGUUGCAAUUUGGAGAAGAAAAGAGGGCUGUGAUCUUCCUUUCAAAAGAAACUCCUUGGAAGCACCACACUUCUGUUUAUUUCUCAUUGACUAGAACAUAGUCAAGUCAUGGGAUUCUGGGUAAUGUAGUAAUUUAACUGGAUGGAUAUAUGCCCAGCUAGUUGGAGUUCU
This 608-nucleotide long non-coding RNA is filed under the name Homo sapiens (human). Its description in RNAcentral is "HSALNT0332944". The record is from RNAcentral. Lineage: Eukaryota; Metazoa; Chordata; Mammalia; Primates; Hominidae.